AUCGCUUCUCGGCCUUUUGNCUAAGAUCAAGUGUAGGAAGUAUGUAAUUUAUGUUCUUAUUUUUUUAAGAUUGAAAAGUAUAUGAGUAUUUUGCCUGAAUGUGUGUCUGUACACCACAUGCAUUCAGUGCACAU
This 134-nucleotide small nuclear RNA is filed under the name Neotoma lepida (desert woodrat). RNAcentral's name for it is "U2 spliceosomal RNA". It matches the Rfam family "U2 spliceosomal RNA". From Rfam's summary of the family: U2 is a small nuclear RNA (snRNA) component of the spliceosome (involved in pre-mRNA splicing). Lineage: Eukaryota; Metazoa; Chordata; Mammalia; Rodentia; Cricetidae. The record is from Rfam by way of RNAcentral.